RNAcentral lists this long non-coding RNA (793 nucleotides) under Sorghum bicolor (sorghum). RNAcentral describes it as "long non-coding RNA (SBIC_LNC002275)". The record is from RNAcentral. Lineage: Eukaryota; Viridiplantae; Streptophyta; Magnoliopsida; Poales; Poaceae.
AUGGUGAAAAUCUAAUUCUACAUUUGCUCCUUUGGGGAAAACAUACCUCCCUAAACUAAGAAUAAGGACUUGGCUAUCUUUCUUUUCUUUUGCAUUGGGACUUUUUUCCUCUUUCUUUCUUUUCUCAUUUUUUUAGAUCAGCCAUCCCUUUUAAUGCACUGAUAAUAGCAAGGAGUAUCAACUGAAGUAACUGGAGCUUUAUUGGAUAAGUAGAAUAAGACAUAAUGGCAAUGGAUGAAGGAAUGCGUACUCUUAGGGUAGGAGCAGCAUCGGUGCAUGUUUCCAGGAUAGAAACAACACAGAGUGUAGUGUGUAUAUGUGGGUGGUACUUCCAGGAAUAGAAGUAGCACAUAGUGAAUGUGGUGGAUGUAAGUGGUUGCGUACUUCUGAGGACCGAAGUAGCUAAGAUCAAUGGAUGGAGAGCACAUAAUAUUGACUUUAACUGCAUGACUAAUUCCUUAGGGUCUACACAGCUUAACUAUCCUCAAUGCUUAUAGGUUGAAAUAUAAGUACAGUUUUCCUAAUCUAGCAAGGAUGAGUAUUUGGCUAUGGUAGGAAUUUAAACUCUCGUCAUAAAGGAACUCGUCAUGUAGCAAUUAUAAUUUUCAAAAUAAAAUUCACCAGAACUCUAGUAUCUCUAGGAGCAAGUUUGAUAGCAGCUCAAGACCUUCCCAUAUCAUAUCCAUCAACUACCUAGACUUAGAUCAAGCAAUUGCUACCCACAAGUUUCAGGUUCAGAGCAAAAUCUUAAAUCUAAACAGUUGUGUCUAGAACUCAGGAGAGUACAAGGUUG